RNAcentral lists this ribosomal RNA (271 nucleotides) under uncultured bacterium. RNAcentral's name for it is "partial 16S ribosomal RNA". It matches the Rfam family "Bacterial small subunit ribosomal RNA", at positions 524 to 794 of the family's 1533-position model. The record is from RNAcentral.
UACGUAGGGUGCAAGCGUUAAUCGGAAUUACUGGGCGUAAAGCGUGCGCAGGCGGUCCGUUAAGACAGAUGUGAAAUCCCCGGGCUCAACCUGGGAAUGGCAAUGGAUACUGGCAGGCUAGAGUGCGGUAGAGGGUAGUGGAAUUCCCGGUGUAGCGGUGAAAUGCGUAGGAGAAUCGGGAGGAACACCAGUGGCGAAGGCGGCUACCUGGACCAGCACUGACACUGAGGCACGAAAGCGUGGGGAGCAAACAGGGAUAGAAACCCCCAGU